CCCGUUUCAACAUAACCAAAAAUCUUGGAUUGGGUUUGACCGAAGGUCAAGAACAAGACUGCCAUUGCGGGUCCACGUCAAAGCAAAAUUUUUUGGUUCUUGCUCCUUCUGGAUACAAGAUUCCACAUAGAUGGCCUACUGGUAGAGACGUUAUCUGGAUCGAUGGAUCGAUAACGUUAAAAUUAACGAACAAGAGGUACUUUAUCAGGAAGUUUGACAAAGAGGAUGAUGUUGUUAGAUGAAGAUCAGAGUUCAUUUAGUUUUGCAUCUUCUAUGGUUGCUGAUAGUAUAGAUGACUAUUCCCAUCAAAUUGCCGAACUGAUCGGUUUAAGAAACUAAUCGUACCUUGUUCAAGCCGGAGUUCCGAAAACAAACGAAUGUUCAUGAAAGCGCAUGAACACAAACUGGAGGAUAGAAGACAACAGAUCCAGGACUUUAACGAUGUGGACAGCGAGUAUAAAAUCUUUCUUCUGAGCACUAGGGCUGGUGGACUGGGAAUCAAUCUCACUGCAGCGGAUACUUGCAUAUUAUAUGACAGUGACUGAGUAAACUAUUGGGGUUUUUAUGUUUACUUGACCCGUUAAACUUUUAUAAUCCAAAUUGACCUGUUUACCUCUGAUAACUUUUUAUAUAAAUGCACUCGAUACCCUUUUUAACCCUUUGUCAUUAUUAUGCGUUUGGAGCGCAGAACCCUCAAAUGGAUUUCCAGGCAAUGGAUACAUGUCACAGAAUUGGCCAAACGAAGCCCGUUCAUGUGUACAGGCUUGCAAUUGCUCUAUCUUUUGAGGGUUGGAUGCUGAAACGAGCAUUCAGUAAGCUAAGGCUUGAGCAUGUGGUGAUCGGUAAAGGUCAAUUUCAUCAAGAAAGAAUUAAAAACAAUGAAGUUUUGGAUGAAGAGGAUAUGUUGGCGCUUGUGAGAGAUGAUGACAAUCCCGAAGAUAAAAUGGUGCAGACCGAUAUAAGUGACGAGGAUGAAGAAAAAGAAAGAUGAAAUGGAAUUACUGUGGGGUUGUUGGCUGAAAAAGAAAAAAAGAUAAGUGUAGGUCCCUGUUUCGGGAUCGAUUCCGUGAUUUUCAUGAUUAUGUUCAAAGA
Helianthus annuus (common sunflower) is the source of this 1092-nucleotide RNA transcript. It is a transcript of the gene named ATP-dependent DNA helicase DDM1, with no coding region annotated. The record is from RefSeq and is a predicted model, not a curated record. The transcript is spliced from 6 exons. NCBI's taxonomy places the organism in Eukaryota, Viridiplantae, Streptophyta, Magnoliopsida, Asterales, Asteraceae.